UGAGAAUAAUUUUUAACAUUUACAUAUUAAUUGUAAAAUUUUGGAAAUAUAGAUAAAAUAUAAAAAUAAUAAAACUGAUAUGUGCAUAUUUGCCCAAGAGAUUCAAGCAUUUUCAGGAUUUGUCUUCUGUAUUUAUUUAGAUUCACCCUUUCCCCCCUCAGAAAUGAAAUGUCAGAGGCCUCUCUGAAGCUUCCACCUCCUCCCCUUUUCUCCUUCCCCAGAUGUCUCCACAGUUAGGAGGGAACUUCCUUUCUCUGGCUUCACGUUUCCUAUGGGGGAACUUCCCAUAGAGAAACACACCUUCUCCCUACUCCUUCACCUGCUCCUUUUCAGGGAAGGAGGGAUGAACAUAAUCACAGAGUUUGGAACUAGGCGUUGGGUUUGGACAGCUCAGCUCCUCUGAGUUUCUUCUCUCUUUCUGGAGCCAGUCUGCCCACUGGAAAGCAGUAAGUCUACUCUGCUCUUCCCCUUCUGGGGUGGGAGGUGCCUCAUCUUAGGGGAGAGGCCUAGGGUGGCCCAGCUCUGCCAGUGACUGUUUGGGAACAUCGAUUUAAUUGCAUUUGGUCUCGAACUGAAGGAAUGCUUUCCUUUCAGCUUAUCAGGAAUAAAGUGAUAUUUUGGUUUUCAUCUGAGUAUUAGCUGAGGUGAGAAGAAAGAGGUGUUAUUUAGUAGUCCCUCAAUUCCCCCAAAAUAUGUAUCCAGAGACUAGAAACUUUAAAAAAUAAGUAAAAGCCAGCAUUUGGGGAGACUGAGGUGUCUGUUGCAGCCUUGAUUGGGUGGCUGCAAGUCAACAAUCAACUGAGUUCAUUCUCGGUUAGAAGUUGAUAAAAUGGAAUUAUAUCUCUUAGGUGGUUCAUAUAAUACUGGGUGACGAGGUGAACAAGCCUUGUUUGAAUGGUGGAUGCUUCUGGGACAUUGAGAGUCUUGAAGACUCAAUGUAGGGAGUACGUUAGGAGAACAAAAUGCCCAGGUCACAAACAAGGAAAAGGAAAAUAGAAUAUACUCUAAUCAAUGAACAACAUCAACUUUUCAUCAAUAGAUAAGGGAAUGGGCCAAUUUAAGAAGCAGAUGAAUUCUUAGUAGCUCCACUGAGUCUUUCAGAGAGUAGGAAACCUACAGAAGGAAAUAGAAUAUUAGCGUCAUGUGUGAUUCCUGUAGAAAAAAAAUGCUGCAGAGAAAAGAAAUAUUUCUGCUACUUUGAGGUACCAUAGUAUUUAUGUGUGAAGUGCCACACUGAAGGCCUGUGGAUUUAAAAGCGGAGGAAAAGCUAGGUUCUAGAAUGGAGCUCUUUGGCAGAGGAAAUGGCCGUCUUUAGACUCUUGGGGGUUCUAGCUUCACAGGUAUAGAUAGAAGCUUUAGUCAGAAUUUCUCUGAGAGAUUCUUUGCCUGAAAUUAGAGUGAGGACAAGGGAAAACCUUCACCUGGGUGCUGGUUUUGUAGGCCUAAGUGAUUCCAGCCAAAGGACUGUAUUCCCAGAGAGUUCUCAUAUUCGAUGCAGCAUGAGGGCGACAGGAACACAGAAACCAGAGAGGAAACAGACAUCAAGAGGUUUUGAAUAAGCUGAAUGAGACAUAAGUACCUCCAGAGUGACUUGGUACAGAGAAGCCACCAAAGUUCUAAACUUUGCAAAGUACCUGUGAUGGUUAAUUUCGUGGGUCAACUUGACUGGGCUAAGGGAUGCCCAGAGAGAUGGUAAAGCAUUCCUGGGUGUAUCUGUGAGGGUGUCUCCAGAAGAGAUAAUGUUUGAAUUUGAAUCGGCUGACUGGGUAAAGAAGAUGGCCCUCCCUGAUGAGGUUGGGCAUCAUUCAAUCUGUUGAGGGCCUGAAUAGAACAAAAAGGCAGAGGAAGGGUGAAUUGGUUUUCCCUGCUUGAGCUGAGACAUCCGUCUUAUCCUGCUCUCAGACAUUGGCACUCUUGACUCUCAAGCCUUUGGACUAGAACUGAAUUACACUACCAGCUUUCCAGUUCUCCAGCAUGCAGGCAGCAGAUCAUGGGAUUUCUUGGUGUCCAUAACCACGUGAGCUAACCGCUAUAACAAAUCUCUUAUAUGUACAGUCAUGCGUUGCUUAACAACAAGGAUACAUUCUGAGAAAUGCAUCGUUAGGCAGUUUUGUUGUGCAGACAUCAUAGAGUAUACUUGCACAAACCUAGGUAGUAUAACCUGCUAUGCACACAAGCUAUGUAGUACUAAUCUUAUGGGACCACCAUUUGUAUGUGCGGUCUGUCAUUGACCAAAACAUCAUUAUGUCAUGCAUGACUCUAUCUCUAUCUCUAUCUAAUCUCUAUAUUGUAUUGGUUCUUUUUCUCUGGACAACUCUGAUUAAUACAGCACUGUAAUUGCUCAAAGGCUGCUCUCUCAGAGAGACAUCAGUGUGCACACACAGGUUUCUUCACCACCCCACCAUGAAGACAGCAUGAAAAGAUACUCAAAUUCAAUUUUAACUAGUUUUAAAUUCACACAUCAUUGAUCUUCAAAAACUGGAAUUGAUUGGCAUCCUUGAGGAUGAAAAGCAAGGUUUCUUUUCCUCCAUCUACCCUCCUUCCUUCGGAUCCUCCUGAGUUACUGCUUGGUAUUUGGAAACAUGUUAUAGUUGUAGGUUAAUUAUGGGGUUCUGGAAACCUAAUUUUCCUUGGGGAAACUGUUCAAGGGGCUUAUUUUUGGCUUGUUUUCUAUAUUUUGUAAAUGUGGAGCUGAGAAAAGUUGGAAUGCUGCUAAAUCCCCGACGUUACACAGAAUCUGAGGGAGACAUCUCUGGGGUGAGGAAGAUUGGUGCUGAGCCAACAUCUACUGCCAAUCUUACUCUUUUUGCUUGAGGAAGAUUGUCAUGAGCCAAUAUCCAUGCCAAUCUUCCUCUAUGUUGCAUGUGGGACACUUGCCAUAGCAUAGCUUAAUGAGAAGAGUGUCUGUCCACGCCCAGAUCCGAACCCGCAAACCCUGGGCUACUGAAGCGAAGCACACAAAUUUAACCACUACGCCACUAGACCAGCCCCAAAGGGGUUUAACUUUUUAAAUUUUUCCUUGGGAAUUUGAUAGUGAAAGAAGGUUUACAUCAAACACUGCAGCAUAAUUCUACUGUUGAUAAUGUAGAAUUAAAAAAUUUUCUCUCAUCAUUUGAAUUUAUUAUGUACCAUUUUGGGAGCUAUAUUGGACAACAUGGCCUAACAUAAUAAAAAAUGAGAAGCCAAAGAGAAAUUGAAAAAUUUUAAAUGAAUUUUUAUAUUAAAACCACUUUUUAAUUCCUUAUUGGAAGAUCUGAGAAUUUCCCUAUGGAUUAAGCAAUUGCAGGCUUGCCAUCCAGGCCUUCAAAUUUGUACCAAAUGGUAAGGGAGCUCCUAGAAGCUGCAUUUUCUCCAGUUCUCAUCCUCACUGUGGCUUUGGAAGACAACGGACCAAGGAAAUCUUCCUGGAGAAUAGAACUGCGAAUAAAUGAACUGUCUGACCAAGGAGCACGUGUCACCGUUUGGACCAAGCUCCCGUGAUAUUCUUAUGCGGUGUUCAUUGGAGGAGAGUUUGACUUGACUUCCUUUUGGGAAAAGCUGAGUGCACAUCAUGGAGCUGUGAUCCUUGGUGGAAGUGUGUAUCAGAAGAAAAAUGUACUUGCAUGAGGAAUAGCCAGAGGAGUGAACUGCACCACAAACUUGUUGUUUCUGCGUUCCUCUCCCAACAAUCUAUGACUUCUGUUUGGGUAUCCCGGUAGUUCUGAGGAACAGACUCCACCCCCUUCUCCAGCUCCGGUUCUGGGCUGUCAUCCCCCACUCCCACGGCAGUGAUCCAUUCAGUGCGGACACGUGACCUAACGUGGUUCAGUCAGAUUGAUUCUCAGUAGUUCUGAAACUUCAGACAAAAACACUGUUCUUCCCAACUAUGGGGUAGUAUGUGGAUGCAAGCCCUGUUCUCGAUGUAGACAUUUUUGUUAACAGCAGGGAAUCAGCCUGAGGAUGAAGCCAAAACGCCACAGACAGCAGAGCCAAGAAUUUGGGCUGCAGGCUCCGUGACAUCAUAAACUGCUGCUCUAAUCUUGUCUGAACUUUGCCCUGACUCUGUCCUUUUUGGAUACGUAAGCCUAUAAAUUUUGUUUAGUUUUAAGGAAGGUGGUUAAGUUUUAAUUGUAUUAAUUGAAAAGCUCAUGACACAUUAUCAUUGUAUGCAUCAUGUUUUCUUAUGCAAAUAUAUGCAUAGAAUGAAUUCCUGGCAGUAGAAUUUCCAAGCAUAAAUUGCCCAAUUAAAACAGACACACACAAAAAUAAGGUUAGAAACUGACAUGAAAUAGUGUAUAUUAGGUGGAAACAUGUCUCUUAUGUCAAUAUUUGUAAAUGUAAAAAACACAUUAAUAGGAAGAUUCUUAGAUUAAGUCACAAAACAAAACCCAGUAACAUUUUAUAUAUGACACAGUUAAGCCAAAUGAUUGUGUGAAAAAUAUGUGUUCUUGGUGAGAGUGACUACUAGCUUAGUUAUGAUUGGUAGUUUAAUUGGAGGUACAACUAGCCUUGCUGCUUAGAUACUAAAUCUCAAAAAGGAGCCCUUCAAAUAUUACUUGAAUACAUCUAGGCCUUCUUGUUCUCCUUGGUGGAGCAAAGAAUGCAUAUAACAGUCUCACCAUCUGAGCAUUGAGAACAAUGCAAAUCUUUAAGUCUCUUAAAAUGUCAGCAAAAUGGUGGGGGAGGGAGGGCAUGAUUUCAUCAGAGCACACGGAAUGAAACUUUCUCAAGGCAGUUUCUUACCAGAAUCUUAUUUACCCAUGGCAGCCCUUUCUCCACUGUUUCUUCCCUCUUCUUCACACUGUCUAGCCUCCUCUAGCAACUUUUCUGUUUUCUUGGAAAAAUUUCAUGAACUUUUUUGUUUUUUGUUUUUUUUGGUGAAGAAGAUUGGCCCUGAGCUAAUGCCUGUUGCCAAUUUUCCUCUUUUUUACUUGAGGAAGAUUGGCCCUGAGGUAACAUCUGUGCCAGCCUUCCUCUAUUUUGUAUGUGGGUUGCCACCCCAACAUGGCUUGAUGAGUGGUGUAGGGCCGUGCCUGAGAUCCGAACCCAUGAAUCCAGGCUGCCAAAGCAGAGUAUGCCAAACUUAACCACUAUACCACCAGCCCAGCUCCACUUUUUUUUUUAAUAGAAAGAGAAAUAAAUUUUCCUAUUUAUAAAAUAUAAGAAGGAAAAGGGCCCUGGGUAUAAAAUCUAAAUGUCUAGGAUGUGAAUGGUCGGGAACACAUAAUAUGACUCUGCUUCCGUCAGUCAUGAGUGUGAGGUGCAAGGAAAAUAGGGCCUGAGAGCUCUUUCUGUACCAGACAGAAAACCUCACAAGAGUAAGAGCCACAGAGCCUCUGUGAAGAAGAUGGAUCAGAGAGAAGUGAAUGGUGUAGAGCAGAAAUUUAACUCUCUCUCUCAAUUUCUUUUCUUCGUAAGCCUACCCCUAAGACUCUGGCCUAGUUGGUGGUCCUCCCAAAAGGAUUAGCUCAUAGUAGAAAUGUGUGCACGUGGGACGGGAGAUAGAGGGAGGGACUCCAGCAGAGGAAAUGUUUACGAAUGCACACACUCUAAGAUCACCUGUCUGCCACAGAGCCAUAGGUUUCCUCUCAUAGUUGUUAACCAAUGUGUAAGUACAAUUUUGUAUGCUAGUUUUUCCCUUAAAGUGAUGGCAUAAAGAUUUUACCAUGGCUGUAUCAACUCUUCAUCAAUACUGUCUCUAACUUUAAUAUCAGUGCAAUAUUUCUUUGGGUCUAGAAUAUCUUAAUCUAAUUAGAUAGUCUUCAUUUUUGUGCAUUUGUAUCAAACUUUCUUUAUGUGAUAAAUAAUGUGCUCCCCCCUUUGCAUUGAGAAACACAAAAAUGACUUGUUUACUGUCACAGAGACCUUUGUUUCUCCAAUUCAGAUAGGUAAAUUGUCUAAAUUCUGUACUCUGGGCCCUAGAAAUGAAGGAUAGAAAAUGAGGAGAGGAAAAGAAACCAAGCCGUUCUUGAGGAAAGAAAUGGGAAAAGGAGUUAUAAGGAGGCGAUAAAAUUGUUUCUUCUCCAGGACAAACAAGUGAAAAAAUUGGGCUCCCCUCCCACCAGGAAUUCUGGCUCCCACUUAUGGAUCCUGAGACUGGCAGAUUUUUCCAGGCUGUGGAAAACUGAUACUCAGCUGAGGAAUCACAUCACAGGCUGUAACACUUAAUGUUAUUAUUUUUCACUUGAUUGUGCAAAAGAAGUGUGUUAAUAUGACUUCUAGGACUGAUACCAAGUAAGUACACUGCCU
RNAcentral lists this long non-coding RNA (6228 nucleotides) under Equus caballus (horse). RNAcentral describes it as "lncRNA (ENSECAG00000047592.1)". The record is from RNAcentral. Lineage: Eukaryota; Metazoa; Chordata; Mammalia; Perissodactyla; Equidae.